Long non-coding RNA from Biomphalaria glabrata, 486 nucleotides. RefSeq lists it as uncharacterized. The transcript has 3 exons. The record is from RefSeq and is a predicted model, not a curated record. NCBI's taxonomy places the organism in Eukaryota, Metazoa, Mollusca, Gastropoda, Planorbidae.
AGGAGCUAGAACUUCUGGCAUUUAACUCUGCGGCUCUGUAACAAUCAACAUAAGCCAUGGAUUUUCUUUAGGUCUAAAAUGUAUAUCCUGUCACCUUUGAAAGUGAUCUCCAGCUGUCUCAUUCCAAAGCUGCCUGCAGCCAGGUGCUCUCUUCUAUGUCAAUUAAAAGAUUAACUCUGGCAAAACUUUUUCUACUGACAAGUGAAAUGAUUCUAGUCCCUCUAAAACCAGGAGCUUUGGAUAGAUGGUAAUUCAUCUAGGAGUGAGGAAAAAUUAGGAAAGAGCCCUUUAGGCAUUGGUCGGAACUAUCAAUUAGGAUAUUCCAUCUGAGACUUCAUACAAAUGAAUUUGUGCUGCUGCAGAGUAGCUGGGUUCUUAUUCAAUUGAGUUAGAAGCCACAAAACAAUAAAGGUAUCUGAGUUAACAACCAAACUGUAAAGUAAUUCUUAAAAGUACAGUUCUAAUGACAUAUACAUUACCCCAUCU